RNAcentral lists this ribosomal RNA (98 nucleotides) under Favonigobius sp. CBM:ZF:19142. Its description in RNAcentral is "partial 16S rRNA". Lineage: Eukaryota; Metazoa; Chordata; Actinopteri; Gobiiformes; Gobiidae. The record is from RNAcentral.
ACCCCAACAGCUAGCCCGAACCUCUAAACCCAACAAACCAUAUCAAUUAACCCCUCACAGACUAAAUCAACUAAACAAACCAUUUUUCCCCCUCAGUA